This 254-nucleotide ribosomal RNA is filed under the name uncultured bacterium. RNAcentral's name for it is "partial 16S ribosomal RNA". It matches the Rfam family "Bacterial small subunit ribosomal RNA", at positions 524 to 776 of the family's 1533-position model. The record is from RNAcentral.
GACGUAGGGGGCGAGCGUUGUCCGGAUUUAUUGGGCGUAAAGAGCUCGUAGGCGGUCUGUCGCGUCGAUCGUGAAAACUUGGGGCUUAACCCUGAGCUUGCGGUCGAUACGGGCAUGACUGGAGUUCGGCAGGGGAGACUGGAAUUCCUGGUGUAGCGGUGAAAUGCGCAGAUAUCAGGAGGAACACCGGUGGCGAAGGCGGGUCUCUGGGCCGAUACUGACGCUAAGGAGCGAAAGCGUGGGGAGCGAACAGG